AGUGAACGCUGGCGGUAGGCCUAACACAUGCAAGUCGAACGGCAGCACAGUAAGAGCUUGCUCUUACGGGUGGCGAGUGGCGGACGGGUGAGGAAUACAUCGGAAUCUACUUUCUCGUGGGGGAUAACGUAGGGAAACUUACGCUAAUACCGCAUACGACCUACGGGUGAAAGCAGGGGAUCUUCGGACCUUGCGCGAUUGAAUGAGCCGAUGUCGGAUUAGCUAGUUGGCGGGGUAAAGGCCCACCAAGGCGACGAUCCGUAGCUGGUCUGAGAGGAUGGUCAGCCACACUGGAACUGAGACACGGUCCAGACUCCUGCGGGAGGCAGCAGUGGGGAAUAUUGGACAAUGGGCGCGAGCCUGAUCCAGCCAUACCGCGUGGGUGAAGAUGGCCUUCGGGUGGUAAAGCCCUUUUGUUGGGAAAGAAAAGCAGCAGGUUAAUACCCCGCUGUUCUGACGGUACCCAAAGAAUAAGCACCGGCUAACUUCGUG
RNAcentral lists this ribosomal RNA (492 nucleotides) under uncultured bacterium. RNAcentral describes it as "partial 16S ribosomal RNA". It matches the Rfam family "Bacterial small subunit ribosomal RNA", at positions 29 to 507 of the family's 1533-position model. The record is from RNAcentral.